RNAcentral lists this long non-coding RNA (2068 nucleotides) under Sus scrofa (pig). RNAcentral's name for it is "lncRNA (ENSSSCG00055024891.1)". Lineage: Eukaryota; Metazoa; Chordata; Mammalia; Artiodactyla; Suidae. The record is from RNAcentral.
UGGGUAAGCAGUGGGGUGUUCCUGUACAGCACUCUCAUCGCUUGGGUCAGAAUAUGGUGCAAGAUAGUAUGAAAAAAAUGCACAUGUAUGUGUGUCAUAUAUAUAUGACCAGGUACACAGCAUAAAUUGAAGAAACAUGGUAAAUCAUCUACAUUAAUAAAAAAAUUUUAAAAACAGAUACAUAAGGGCAUUCCCUUUGUGACUCAGCGGUUAGCAAACCUGACUAGGGUCUAUGAGGAUGUGGGUUCUAUCCCCGGCCUCACUCGCUGGGUUAAGGAUCUAGCAUUGCCGCGAGCUGUGGUGUAGGUCACAGACACAGCUUGGAUCUGGCAUGGUUGUGGCUGUGGUGCAGGUGAGCAGCUGCAGCUCUCAUUCAACCCCUAGCCUGGGAACUUCCAUGUGCUGUGGGUGCAGCCCUAAAAAGCAAAAAAAUAAAAUAAAAAAAACACAGAUAAAUAAUAAGAACCUACUGUAUCACACAGGGAAAUCUACUUAAUAAUCUGUAAUAACCUUGAUGGGAAAAGAAUGACUGAUUCACUUUACUGUAUACCCAAAGCUAAUACAAUAAUGAAAGUCCUAUAAAAUUUUAAAAAAUAAAAUGCAUGUGCAGUGUUAUCUGUAGCCAUUCCAAAAUGGAAGGAAGGUCCACCCACAGCAGAAUGGAUUGAUAAAUGGGACUCUGGAUAAUUCAGCACUGCAAUGAAAAGGCAUAAACCCAUGGUCUAGGCACCAGCACAGAUUCAUCUCACAAACAUGCCACUGAACAAAAGGAAUCAGAUGCCGCAGGGUGUGUGGGAAAUGGCCCAGGGCGGACUUGGAGGGUCUGAGAGAUGCUCACGUUCUUGACCUAAGCUGUGGUUACAUGGCUCUCUGCUUUUUAAAAAAAAUAAAUAAAUAAUGGAGCAAUAUGGUUGGGGGUUGUGUGAUUUUCUGCCCCUGUGAUAGACUUUAAAGAGUUUCAAAGCACUUGAAGUAUUCAUUAAUGGGGCACAUACUCGAGACUGAGUCAUUCCUUGAAACUUAGGAGGAAGCAAACUUUGGAGGCAAUUAUUUCCUCCACAGUAAAGAAUUUACCCAGUAGUAGAAAUGUGUGUGUGUGUGUGUGUGUCAUCUAUCUUUCUAUCUACCUACUUAUCUGUCUACCUACCUCCCUACUUAUCUCUCUUUCUAUCAACUAUCUACUAUCCACCUAUCUAUCCACUUAUCUAAUUCUGUAUCAUCUAUCUUCCUUAUCUAUCUACCUAAACAUGUAUCUAAUAUUUCUAUCCAUCCAUCCAUCCAUCCAUCCAUCCAUCCAUCCAUCCAUCCAUCCAUCCAUCUUUCCAACGAGCUAGCUCUCUCUUCUCAAACUAUGUGGCUUGGCUUUUUACGCUCUUCAUAAUAAGUUUGAUGAAUAGAAAUUCUUAAUAUUCGUAUCAUUGAUCCCUUUUUCUUUAUGGCGAGUGCUAUUUGAGUCCUUUGAAGGCAUUUUUCCUUACGUGAAUUUUAGUACGUUAUCCUUUAUAAGAUCAACAGAGGGAUUGUUCACAUUUACAGCCAGAAUCCGUGUGGAUUGGACAGUUGUGGGUAGUGUGACGUGAGGAUCAAGUUUCAUUUUCUUUUCUUUUCGGACCAGCCUUUUGGACCAGCGCUGUUUCCUGGAAAGGCUCCGACUCGCUGCCUUUUCACCUUGGUCAUCAAUCCUUGCUACUGAUGUGUGUAAUCUCUCCUUUGCCAAUCAAAUGCAGUCUUCUUAUAGUAGAUUUAAAUCUUGAAAUAUGGUAGAGUCAGUUCACCAACUUUUUAUUCCUCCUUCAAGAAUAGAUUUCCUGGGAAUUCCUGUUGUGGCUCAGUGGUAAUAAAUCUGACUAGGAUCCUUGAGGUUGCGGGUUCAAUCCCUGGCCUCGCUCAGUGGGUUCAGGCUCUGCUGUUGCCAUGAGCUGUGGUGUAGGUUCCAGACGCGGCUUGGAUCCGGCAUUGCUGUGGCUGUGGUAUAGGCCAGCAGGUGCAGCUCUGAUUUGACCUCUAGCCUGUGAACUUUCAUAUACCGCAGGUGCAGUCCUAAAAAGCCAAAAAGAAAAAAGAAAAA